UUUUUUUUUUUUUUUUUUUUUUUUUUUUUUUUUUUUUUUUCCU
This 43-nucleotide non-coding RNA is filed under the name Alexandrium minutum. The record is from RNAcentral. Lineage: Eukaryota; Dinophyceae; Gonyaulacales; Pyrocystaceae.